CAACUUUCAACAACGGAUCUCUUGGCUCUCGCAUCGAUGAAGAACGCAGCGAAAUGCGAUAAGUAAUGUGAAUUGCAGAAUUCAGUGAAUCAUCGAAUCUUUGAACGCACCUUGCGCCCUUUGGCAUUCCGAAGGGCACACCUGUUUGAGUGUCGUGAAA
This 160-nucleotide ribosomal RNA is filed under the name Bondarzewia mesenterica. Its description in RNAcentral is "5.8S ribosomal RNA". It matches the Rfam family "5.8S ribosomal RNA". From Rfam's summary of the family: 5.8S ribosomal RNA (5.8S rRNA) is a component of the large subunit of the eukaryotic ribosome. It is transcribed by RNA polymerase I as part of the 45S precursor that also contains 18S and 28S rRNA. Functionally, it is thought that 5.8S rRNA may be involved in ribosome translocation. The record is from RNAcentral. Lineage: Eukaryota; Fungi; Basidiomycota; Agaricomycetes; Russulales; Bondarzewiaceae.